AGAACGAACGCUGGCGGCGUGCCUAACACAUGCAAGUCGAACGAGAAAGGGACUUCGGUCCUGAGUACAGUGGCGCACGGGUGAGUAACACGUAGGUAACCUACCUCUAAGUUUGGGAUAACCUGUCGAAAGAUGAGCUAAUACUGAAUGAGACCACAGUUUCCUCGGAAGCAGGGGUCAAAGGUAGCCUCUAUUUAUAAGCUAUCGCUUAGAGAUGGGCCUGCGUACCAUUAGCUAGUUGGUGAGGUAACGGCUCACCAAGGCAAAGAUGGUUAGCUGGUCUGAGAGGAUGAUCAGCCACACUGGAACUGAGACACGGUCCGAGACUCCUACGGGAGCAGCAGUGGGGAAUAUUGCGCAAGUGGGACGAAAGCCUGACGCAGCAACGCCGCGUGAGUGA
RNAcentral lists this ribosomal RNA (400 nucleotides) under uncultured soil bacterium. Its description in RNAcentral is "bacterial SSU rRNA". It matches the Rfam family "Bacterial small subunit ribosomal RNA", at positions 26 to 408 of the family's 1533-position model. The record is from RNAcentral.